CCUACGGGAGACAGUAGUGGGGAAUAUUGCGCAAUGGGCGAAAGCCUGACGCAGCGACGCCGCGUGAGGGAUGAAGGUCUUCGGAUCGUAAACCUCUGUCAGCAGGGAAGAACGGUCACUGUGCUAAUCAGCAGUGAAUUGACGGUACCUGCAAAGGAAGCACCGGCUAACUCCGUGCCAGCAGCCGCGGUAAUACGGAGGGUGCGAGCGUUAAUCGGAAUUACUGGGCGUAAAGCGCUCGUAGGCGGUAUGUCAAGUCAAGGGUGAAAUCCCCGGGCUCAACCUGGGAACUGCCUUUGAAACUGGCAGACUUGAGUGUGGGAGAGGAGAGUGGAAUUCCAGGUGUAGGAGUGAAAUCCGUAGAGAUCUGGAGGAACAUCAGUGGCGAAGGCGACUAUCUGGCACAUAACUGACGCUGAGGAGCGAAAGCGUGGGUAGCAAACAGGAUUAGAUACCCGGGUAGUC
RNAcentral lists this ribosomal RNA (465 nucleotides) under uncultured bacterium. RNAcentral describes it as "partial 16S ribosomal RNA". It matches the Rfam family "Bacterial small subunit ribosomal RNA", at positions 338 to 795 of the family's 1533-position model. The record is from RNAcentral.